Molecule: long non-coding RNA, 537 nt
Filed under: Androctonus crassicauda
Lineage: Eukaryota; Metazoa; Arthropoda; Arachnida; Scorpiones; Buthidae
Source: RNAcentral
AAAGUUUGAAGGAUGAUGCAUGCCCAGCAUAAGCAACUGUCAUAAUGAUUUCACAGAUUAUAUUCAUUGUAGGUAAGCUUAUUAGGAUUGAUUGUUGUGUAAUAAUUCUUACAAUCGUUUCGACUGUUCUUAUUAAAGCCUCAGUGGGGAUUGUUUUUUUUACAAAACUGGGAUGCAGAAAGGUCUGUGUGCAGUGGGUGCCCAAAAUGUUAACCAGGAAUAUAAAAAUUUGUUCAAAUGGGACUCUCUUCAAUAUUUGAUUUCCAAUCAGAAUGAGCCUGAAUUUCUUAGAGUUGUUGUUGUCAAUGAAAAUUCGUGCCACCAUUACGAUUCUGAAACAAGAAGCAACAAUAUGCAAUAAAAGUGUAUUCACUGAGUGGCUCAAAAAUUUAAAACAUUAUCCCAAAAAAUCUGAAACAUCUAGCAAGCAAAUUGAUGUUGACUAUGCUUUUUGAUAUGACAGGAUCACUGUUUCUUUGAACAGGAUCAAACUGUUGAUAGUGUGGAAUAUUGUGGAAUUAAAAUCUUGCAACAUUU